Molecule: ribosomal RNA, 756 nt
Filed under: uncultured bacterium
Lineage: Bacteria
Description: bacterial SSU rRNA
Rfam family: Bacterial small subunit ribosomal RNA
Source: RNAcentral
AGAGUUUGAUCAUGGCUCAGAAUCAACGCUGGCGGCGCGCUUAACACAUGCAAGUCGAACGGGAAAGUGGAGCAAUCCAUGAGUACAGUGGCGUACGGGUGAGUAACACGUGGGUGAUCUACCUUUUAGUGGGGAAUAACCCUGGGAAACCGGGGCUAAUACCGCAUAAUCCCGAGAGGGGAAAGUCGUAAGACGCUGAAAGAGGAGCCCGCGGCCGAUUAGCUAGUUGGUAGGGUAAGAGCCUACCAAGGCAGAGAUCGGUAGCCGGCCUGAGAGGGCACACGGCCACACUGGCACUGAAACACGGGCCAGACUCCUACGGGAGGCAGCAGUGGGGAAUCUUGCACAAUGGGGGCAACCCUGAUGCAGCGACGCCGCGUGAGCGAUGAAGCCCUUCGGGGUGUAAAGCUCUUUCGUCAGGGAAGAUGAUGACGGUACCUGGAGAAGCAGCUGCGGCUAACUACGUGCCAGCAGCCGCGGUAAUACGUAGGCAGCGAGCGUUGUUCGGAGUUACUGGGCGUAAAGGGUGUGUAGGCGGUUCUUUAAGUUUGGUGUGAAAUCUCCCGGCUCAACCGGGAGGGUGCGCCGAAUACUGAGGGACUAGAGUGCGGGAGAGGAAAGUGGAAUUCCUGGUGUAGCGGUGAAAUGCGUAGAUAUCAGGAGGAACACCGGUGGUGUAGACGGCUUUCUGGACCGUAACUGACGCUGAGACACGAAAGCGUGGGUAGCAAACAGGAUUAGAUACCCUAGUAGUCC